This is a non-coding RNA of Macaca mulatta (Rhesus monkey), 333 nucleotides long. The record is from RefSeq and is a predicted model, not a curated record. NCBI's taxonomy places the organism in Eukaryota, Metazoa, Chordata, Mammalia, Primates, Cercopithecidae.
GACGGGCGGAUCACGAGAGAAUGUCUUCAGGAAGAAGAAAACAGGCAUAUGUUAUCAGUGUGCUGGGAAUCAGCUGCAGGAAAACUGAGGCGAGCCUAAGGGAGAAUAGGGUGUGUUUUGAUGGACGUAUGUGUGUAGCACCAUCUUCAGAAAAUGAGGUAAUGGGAGAGUUUUCAUCUCUGCAAUCAAAAUACUUUGAAGUUUAGUGUGACACAUUCUUGGUCUUUAAAAGUCCUAGGUUGCUCCAGGAAUUGGACUCAUCUCUGCAGCAAGCAGACCUAAUAGACAUCUAUAGAACUCUCCACCCCAAAUCAACAGAAUAUACAUUCUUCU